This 666-nucleotide long non-coding RNA is filed under the name Equus caballus (horse). RNAcentral describes it as "lncRNA (ENSECAG00000044188.1)". The record is from RNAcentral. Lineage: Eukaryota; Metazoa; Chordata; Mammalia; Perissodactyla; Equidae.
AAUAGCGCCUGCCUAUCAUUCUAUAAAGAAGAGAAACAUGCAGAGCAGACAGAUAUCAAUAUCCAACGGCUGUUCUCUUAUGGAAAAUACCUUUCAAUCUUUACACUGAAUACCAUGGAUGGUGAUGAUGAGAGAUGCGUGCAUGUGGCGGCAGAUAGGAGAAUAGGCAAGCUGAUGGGAUCAAUGACAGGAAUGGAGAGAAGGGACCUGUCUACGGAUAUGAGAGUUGCCACUAGGAGGCAAAGAGAGCAGGCGUUUCAUUUAGCCGAAUGCCUCAUUUGAGAUGCUAUCAACCUCUCAUCUGAUUUCAUACAUGAGGAAGAGAAAGAGAAAUGUUUUGAGAACAAGAUCAGAGCUGUUCUUCUCGGUCUCCAUCUCACUCUGGGUUUACAGAGACAGGAGGGAAAGCUACCUUUAAGCAUCAGCAGAAAGCUCAGGAUGGCCUCUGCUUUGAGAGUUAGCUGGAAUCCCAGAAAAGAAACUUGCUGAGGAUCAGAGCCGUGCCCGGCAUCAGUGGAGAGGGCAUGCUCAUCUCAGUCCAAAAUCACCGAUGGGAGACUGAACGCCUGUGUGGCUGCAUGCCCGCUCAGGGGCCCGGCUGCACACACAGGCCUUGCUCCGAUGAGUUCUGGAUCCGCUCUCCUGAGCUCGUGAGUGAUGCCAGAG